RNAcentral lists this ribosomal RNA (478 nucleotides) under uncultured bacterium. RNAcentral's name for it is "partial 16S ribosomal RNA". It matches the Rfam family "Bacterial small subunit ribosomal RNA", at positions 28 to 523 of the family's 1533-position model. The record is from RNAcentral.
GACGAACGCUGGCGGCGUGCUUAACACAUGCAAGUCGAACGGUAAGGCCCUUCGGGGUACACGAGUGGCGAACGGGUGAGUAACACGUGGGUGAUCUGCCCUGCACUUCGGGAUAAGCCUGGGAAACUGGGUCUAAUACCGGAUAGGACCCUGGGAUGCAUGUCCUGGGGUGGAAAGCUUUUGCGGUGUGGGAUGGGCCCGCGGCCUAUCAGCUUGUUGGUGGGGUGAUGGCCUACCAAGGCGACGACGGGUAGCCGGCCUGAGAGGGUGACCGGCCACACUGGGACUGAGAUACGGCCCAGAUUCCUACGGGAGACAGCAGUGGGGAAUAUUGCACAAUGGGCGCAAGCCUGAUGCAGCGACGCCGCGUGAGGGAUGACGUCCUUCGGGUUGUAAACCUCUUUCAGCACCGACGAAGCGCAAGUGACGGUAGGUGCAGAAGAAGGACCGGCCAACUACGUGCCAGCAGCCGCCGUAA